GGGCCCGUAGUGUAAUGGUAGCACAAGACUCUCCAAAAGUCUUAGUCCGAGUUCAAAUCCUGGCGGGCCUG
RNAcentral lists this transfer RNA (71 nucleotides) under bacterium. RNAcentral describes it as "tRNA-Trp". It matches the Rfam family "tRNA". From Rfam's summary of the family: Transfer RNA (tRNA) molecules are approximately 80 nucleotides in length. Their secondary structure includes four short double-helical elements and three loops (D, anti-codon, and T loops). Further hydrogen bonds mediate the characteristic L-shaped molecular structure. tRNAs have two regions of fundamental functional importance: the anti-codon, which is responsible for specific mRNA codon recognition, and the 3' end, to which the tRNAs corresponding amino acid is attached (by aminoacyl-tRNA synthetases). tRNAs cope with the degeneracy of the genetic code in two manners: having more than one tRNA (with a specific anti-codon) for a particular amino acid; and 'wobble' base-pairing, i.e. permitting non-standard base-pairing at the 3rd anti-codon position. The record is from RNAcentral.